AUGGUGGGGAGGGGAGAUGCUGUCUAGUUUGGGAGGCCUCCCAUCAUUGCAAUGGCCCAUGCCCACCUGUGUUGUCUCGCUCCCUGGAGGGCAGCGGAGCUGCCGGGAGAGGGAUGCCUGGAGUUUGCCUUUCACUUGCCUGGAAAGCCACUGUACCUCCUCGUGGAACAAGUGACCCUAUUCCUGAUACACUGAGAUCUCUCUGCUUCGGCCCAGCCUGCCACACCGAUCCAGGAAGCAGGGUCUGAGCUGCAUCCACCUCUCGAGGCACGCGAGCUGUAGGCCCCCGGCUGGCGGUUCCGUGGCGGGAGACAGCGUUCUGGGAUGAACGGCAGCCCCGUGCUCCAAAGAGCGACCCAGCCCAGUGACCCGUGUGCAGGAAUCCCAGCUGAGUCAUCCACUCCCGGCCAGGGCUGGAGCCGGCCGGAUUCCACUGGGGCUCUAAACCUUGCAGCUCGUAAACAGCACUUCUCCAGCCACACAGCUGCUGUGUCGCGCUGGGUCCCGUGCAGAGGAGGGCUGGGAAGCCCCCGUUAAUUGCAUCAAGCGACACCUCCGGGAAUCAGGCCCUACAGCUCUCAAGCUGGGCACCCACAAUCAGUAGCCACUUCUGAAAACCUUAGCCCCAGCGAAUGCCCCCUACAAGCCUAUCGACCACCGGGCUGGGAGUCAGGAGAACUGAGUUCAAUGCCCCGCCACCGACUCAGCGUGUGACCUUAGAGAGGAGACUUGGCCAGGCUGGAAAAAACCCAACCCAAAGUCGAAACAGAUGCUUGCCAGGGGCAUGGCUCGUUCCUGUGCAGGAACAAAGGCCGUGCCACAGUGCAUUCUUCACCUGCUAGCCCGGAGGGGCCCCUCCAAGCCCACCGGGGCUGUCUGGGGCGCAUGAGGAUAUGUCUGCAGCAGGGGCAGUGUUGAUGUUUUUAGCCCUAUUCAUAAGAGAAAUCUGGGCAGCCAGAUUCCAAGCCCGGAUGUGUGUUCACUUAAGGAAGAAAGCUCCUUUAAAGGAACACGGGACACUGUUCUACCCUGGAAGACCAAUGUCCCAGGCACUCAGCUGAUCAAGCUAAUCUGUCUGGAAGUCCUUUAUUCACCGUGUAAACAUCUGCUCAUGUGGGAAGCGGUGUGGCUUAGUGGCUAGCCCCACUCAGCCCCAGCCCUGCAGUAGGAUGUUGGGCAAGUUACUCUUUGGGGCAUGGACUAUGUCGCCGUCUGUGUCAGGGAUCUCUGUCAGUGCUAUUGUAUUCCAAACAAAGGCACCCGUCAUGGAAGCCAUUGCUCACCCAUGGGAAGGAGAGGUUUACCAGUCUGUCCUGCCUCUGCCACACUGCCGUGUGGGCCAGGCUUUCAAACACCGGCUUCUCUUCACAAAGAGAGUGUUCUGGGGGAGUUUUGCACCCCCUGUUAUUUGCAAGGGCAUGUUAGGUAUAAGCAGAUGGUUGCACCUGCAUGUGUUUGGUGGGUGCAAAACCAGAGGCUUGGUUAAUGCUGGAAUUAAAUCUGACUCUAGCCAUGUAGCUGAUCAUCUCGGCUCCUGGAAAUACUUUGUGCUGAGCAAGCUUAGAGACAGGGCUUCCCUGCACCUGCCCAGAGCUGUGGGCGUGGCCUGACUGCCGUGGGUCUGCUCGCACAACAGGCACAAACAGGCGCACACCCAGGCACUUAAUAGAGACUCACGUGUGGACUCAAAGACCCACAAAUGCAUCAUCACACACACAGGCACUUUGUACACACACACGGACACACACACAUGCACUUGCAGAGACUUGUGUACACACGUUCACACACACCUUCUGGCUCAGCCUGCACCAGCCAGACUGAGGCCUGUGCAAAGCCUCUAGGAAUUUGCUUUUCUGUCCUGCUCUUUGAGCCAGUGUUAUGUGCCGUUGUUGUUUUAAGCGCAUCUGUGCUCCAAUCUCAGCUAUGGGCCCAGAAGUUUCUCAGUAAAAAGUAGAAACUGA
Long non-coding RNA from Chrysemys picta bellii (western painted turtle), 1961 nucleotides. RefSeq lists it as uncharacterized. NCBI's taxonomy places the organism in Eukaryota, Metazoa, Chordata, Testudines, Emydidae. The record is from RefSeq and is a predicted model, not a curated record.